This 71-nucleotide transfer RNA is filed under the name Fidelibacterota bacterium. Its description in RNAcentral is "tRNA-Asn". It matches the Rfam family "tRNA". From Rfam's summary of the family: Transfer RNA (tRNA) molecules are approximately 80 nucleotides in length. Their secondary structure includes four short double-helical elements and three loops (D, anti-codon, and T loops). The record is from RNAcentral. Lineage: Bacteria; Pseudomonadati; Fidelibacterota.
GAGUAGCUCAGUUGGUAGAGCGAGUGACUGUUAAUCACCAGGUCGGGGGUUCGAGUCCCUCCUCCGGAGCA